UGAUUAUGUUGAUAAUGUUGUACUAUAAAUAAGCGACUGCACAAUUAUUUGCCACUAAUAAUCGAAAAAUGAAACUCUACGUGUAUUUACUUCUCGUCACACUUGUGACCUAUUCCUUGGGACUAAAUGAUGCUCAAAUAAAUGAAAGUCAACACGCAACCAAAAAAUGUGAAAAGGAGAAUCCAGAUGUUGAUACAAAAGAAAUAGACAAGUUGCUUCACAAGUCGGACGACAUUUCAAAAGAGAAAUCUGACGACGCCUUUAAAAGAUACAUGGUUUGCAUACACAAAGAGAUGAAAUGGUUAAAACCCGAUGGUACUUACGACACCGAUCGUCUAAAAAAGUGGAUUAAAAUGGGAGGUCAAAGUGACGAAGAGGCAGAUGAAAUUAUUAAAGAAUGCAUCGUAUAUAAGGGCUCGGAGAUCGAAACAGUAUGGGGUGUUUCCCAGUGUUUGUAUAAACAUAAUGCUUGAACUGUAUUGGAAUAUAAAGUAUAUAAAUUUCCAAUAAAUUGUUACUUAAAUUAUA
This is a long non-coding RNA of Zophobas morio, 528 nucleotides long. RefSeq lists it as uncharacterized. The record is from RefSeq and is a predicted model, not a curated record. The transcript is spliced from 2 exons. NCBI's taxonomy places the organism in Eukaryota, Metazoa, Arthropoda, Insecta, Coleoptera, Tenebrionidae.